RNAcentral lists this ribosomal RNA (261 nucleotides) under uncultured bacterium. RNAcentral's name for it is "partial 16S ribosomal RNA". It matches the Rfam family "Bacterial small subunit ribosomal RNA", at positions 99 to 354 of the family's 1533-position model. The record is from RNAcentral.
CGAACGGGUGAGUAACACGUGGGCAACCUGCCCAAAAGAGGGGGAUAACACUUGGAAACAGGUGCUAAUACCGCAUAACCAUAGUUACCGCAUGGUAGCUAUGUAAAAGGUGGCUAUGCUACCGCUUUUGGAUGGGCCCGCGGCGCAUUAGCUAGUUGGUGGGGUAAAGGCUUACCAAGGCAAUGAUGCGUAGCCGAACUGAGAGGUUGAUCGGCCACAUUGGGACUGAGACACGGCCCAAACUCCUACGGAAGGCAGCAG